GCGGUUAUACAAAUAAUAUAAAUAAAAUAUUUUAGUAUUAAUUAAAGUUAUUUUAUUAGUAUUUAAUAAAAUUUAUUGGGUGAAAUUUAUAAAUUUUUAUAUUUACUAAAAAUAUUUUUGUUUAAGUUAUAAAAUUUUAAAUAUAAACUAGGAUUAGAUACCCUAUUAUUUAAAAUAAAUAGUUAAAUGCUAAGGUAGUAUUAGUUAUAUUCUUAAAACUUAAAGAAUUUGGCGGUAUUUUAGUCUUUUCAGAGGAACCUGUUCUAUAAUCGAUAGUCCACGUUUUAUUAAAUUUAUUUUAUUGGUUUGUAUAUCGUUGUUAUCAGAAUAUUUUUGGAAAUAGAUUUUCUUAAAUUUAUAUAAAAUUUUAUUUCAGAUCAAGGUGCAGCUUAUAAAUAAGAAGAAAUGGGUUACAAUAAAUAUAUUUAUUUAUGAAUAUUUAUUUGAAAUAAUAAAUUAAAGGUGGAUUUGAUAGUAAUUUAGUAUUUAAUAUAAUUAAAUGAUUUUAGCUCUAAAAUAUGCACAUAUCGCCCGUCGCUUUUGUUUUUAAAAUAAAAUAAGUCGUAACAUAGUAGAUGUAUUGGAAAAUGUAUCUAGUAAGAU
This 603-nucleotide ribosomal RNA is filed under the name Corethrella condita. Its description in RNAcentral is "12S ribosomal RNA". The record is from RNAcentral. Lineage: Eukaryota; Metazoa; Arthropoda; Insecta; Diptera; Corethrellidae.